This 85-nucleotide transfer RNA is filed under the name Felis catus (domestic cat). It matches the Rfam family "tRNA". Rfam says of the family: Transfer RNA (tRNA) molecules are approximately 80 nucleotides in length. Their secondary structure includes four short double-helical elements and three loops (D, anti-codon, and T loops). Further hydrogen bonds mediate the characteristic L-shaped molecular structure. tRNAs have two regions of fundamental functional importance: the anti-codon, which is responsible for specific mRNA codon recognition, and the 3' end, to which the tRNAs corresponding amino acid is attached (by aminoacyl-tRNA synthetases). tRNAs cope with the degeneracy of the genetic code in two manners: having more than one tRNA (with a specific anti-codon) for a particular amino acid; and 'wobble' base-pairing, i.e. permitting non-standard base-pairing at the 3rd anti-codon position. Lineage: Eukaryota; Metazoa; Chordata; Mammalia; Carnivora; Felidae. The record is from Rfam by way of RNAcentral.
GCCUGGGUGGCUCAAUCAGUUGAGCAUCUGACUUUGGCUCAGGUCAUGAUCUCGCGGUUCAUGGGUUCGGGCCCCGUAUCGGGCU